This 1401-nucleotide ribosomal RNA is filed under the name Escherichia coli. Its description in RNAcentral is "partial 23S ribosomal RNA". It matches the Rfam family "Bacterial large subunit ribosomal RNA", at positions 1 to 1442 of the family's 2925-position model. Lineage: Bacteria; Pseudomonadati; Pseudomonadota; Gammaproteobacteria; Enterobacterales; Enterobacteriaceae. The record is from RNAcentral.
GGUUAAGCGACUAAGCGUACACGGUGGAUGCCCUGGCAGUCAGAGGCGAUGAAGGACGUGCUAAUCUGCGAUAAGCGUCGGUGAGGUGAUAUGAACCGUUAUAACCGGCGAUUUCCGAAUGGGGAAACCCAGUGUGUUUCGACACACUAUCAUUAACUGAAUCCAUAGGUUAAUGAGGCGAACCGGGGGAACUGAAACAUCUAAGUACCCCGAGGAAAAGAAAUCAACCGAGAUUCCCCCAGUAGCGGCGAGCGAACGGGGAGGAGCCCAGAGCCUGAAUCAGUGUGUGUGUUAGUGGAAGCGUCUGGAAAGGCGCGCGAUACAGGGUGACAGCCCCGUACACAAAAAUGCACAUAUUGUGAGCUCGAUGAGUAGGGCGGGACACGUGGUAUCCUGUCUGAAUAUGGGGGGACCAUCCUCCAAGGCUAAAUACUCCUGACUGACCGAUAGUGAACCAGUACCGUGAGGGAAAGGCGAAAAGAACCCCGGCGAGGGGAGUGAAAAAGAACCUGAAACCGUGUACGUACAAGCAGUGGGAGCCUCUUAAUGGGGUGACUGCGUACCUUUUGUAUAAUGGGUCAGCGACUUAUAUUCUGUAGCAAGGUUAACCGAAUAGGGGAGCCGAAGGGAAACCGAGUCUUAACUGGGCGUUAAGUUGCAGGGUAUAGACCCGAAACCCGGUGAUCUAGCCAUGGGCAGGUUGAAGGUUGGGUAACACUAACUGGAGGACCGAACCGACUAAUGUUGAAAAAUUAGCGGAUGACUUGUGGCUGGGGGUGAAAGGCCAAUCAAACCGGGAGAUAGCUGGUUCUCCCCGAAAGCUAUUUAGGUAGCGCCUCGUGAAUUCAUCUCCGGGGGUAGAGCACUGUUUCGGCAAGGGGGUCAUCCCGACUUACCAACCCGAUGCAAACUGCGAAUACCGGAGAAUGUUAUCACGGGAGACACACGGCGGGUGCUAACGUCCGUCGUGAAGAGGGAAACAACCCAGACCGCCAGCUAAGGUCCCAAAGUCAUGGUUAAGUGGGAAACGAUGUGGGAAGGCCCAGACAGCCAGGAUGUUGGCUUAGAAGCAGCCAUCAUUUAAAGAAAGCGUAAUAGCUCACUGGUCGAGUCGGCCUGCGCGGAAGAUGUAACGGGGCUAAACCAUGCACCGAAGCUGCGGCAGCGACGCUUAUGCGUUGUUGGGUAGGGGAGCGUUCUGUAAGCCUGUGAAGGUGUGCUGUGAGGCAUGCUGGAGGUAUCAGAAGUGCGAAUGCUGACAUAAGUAACGAUAAAGCGGGUGAAAAGCCCGCUCGCCGGAAGACCAAGGGUUCCUGUCCAACGUUAAUCGGGGCAGGGUGAGUCGACCCCUAAGGCGAGGCCGAAAGGCGUAGUCGAUGGGAAACAGGUUAAUAUUCCUGU